UACGGAGGAUGCAAGCGUUAUCCGGAAUGAUUGGGCGUAAAGCGUCCGCAGGUGGCUGUGUAAGUCUGCUGUUAAAUAGUGAGGCUCAACCUCAUAAAGGCAGUGGAAACUACACGGCUAGAGUGCGUUCGGGGCAGAGGGAAUUCCUGGUGUAGCGGUGAAAUGCGUAGAUAUCAGGAAGAACACCGGUGGCGAAGGCGCUUUGCUGGACCAUAACUGACACUCAGGGACGAAAGCUAGGGGAGCGAAUGGG
RNAcentral lists this ribosomal RNA (253 nucleotides) under uncultured bacterium. RNAcentral's name for it is "partial 16S ribosomal RNA". It matches the Rfam family "Bacterial small subunit ribosomal RNA", at positions 524 to 776 of the family's 1533-position model. The record is from RNAcentral.